UAAGCUAGAAAGAGCUUAUGGUGGAUGCCUAGGCAUUCAGAGUUGAAGAAGGACGUGACCGGCUGCGAAAAGCCGCGGGGAGCUGCUAAAUAAGCGUAGAUCCGUGGAUAUCCGAAUGGGGCAACCCACCAGUGUGGAGCACUGGUAUUAUGCAGUGAAAGAAGUAGCUGUGUAAGAACAAGCAGGAGAAUUGAAACAUCUUAGUACCCUGAGGAAAAGAAAUCAAAACGAGAUUCCCUUAGUAGCGGCGAGCGAAGGGGGAGAAGUCCAAACACUAAAAGUGUAAACCUGUAGGUGUUGCUUUUAGUGGGUGUGGGAUAUUGUUAAUUAGAGGCUACAGCCUCUAGAUGGCUUAAAUUUUUUGCUAAGUCGAAGGGACUGGAAAGUUCCGCCAGAGAGGGUAAUAGCCCUGUAGGCGAAAAGCAAAAGAAGUCAAACGAUAUCCAGAGUAUCACGGGACACGAGAAACCCUGUGAGAAUAUGGGAGGACCACCUUCCAAGACUAAAUACUCCUGAAUGACCGAUAGUGAACAAGUACCGUGAGGGAAAGGUGAAAAGAACCCCGGAAGGGGAGUGAAAUAGAAACUGAAACCGUAAGCUUACAACAAGUAGGAGGACUAUUAGAAAGUCUGACUGCGUACUUUUUGUAUCACGGACCGGCGAGUUACUGAUCGUAGCAAAAGGUUAAGCCAUAGAGGUGUAGCCAGAGCGAAAGCGAGUCUGAAUAGGGCGGAAGUUAUGAUGAGUAGACCCGAAACCGAGUGAUCUAUCCAUGACCAGGGUGAAGCGGGUGUAAGAGCCUGUGGAGGCCCGAACCCGGUGUUGUUGAAAAAACAUGGGAUGAGUUGUGGAUAGGGGUGAAAGGCCAAUCGAACUCGGAGAUAGCUGGUUCUCCUCGAAAUAGCUUUAGGGCUAGCCUCAGAGUAAAAGUUAAUUGGUUGUAGAGCACUGAUUGGACAAGGGGCCCAACAAGGUUACCAAAUCCAUUCAAACUCCGAAUGCCAAUUAAUGUUCUCUGGGAGUCAGACUGUGGGGGAUAAGCUUCAUAGUCAAGAGGGAAAGAGCCCAGACCACCAGAUAAGGUCCCAAAGUAUAUGCUAAGUGGAAAAGGAAGUGAGAUCGCACAGACAACCAGGAUGUUGGCUUAGAAGCAGCCAUUCAUUUAAAGAGUGCGUAAUAGCCCACUGGUUAAGCGGUUUCGCGCCGAAAAUGUAACGGGGCUAAAGCAUAUCACCGAAGCUGUGGUUUCUAGGAACUGUCAGGUUUUAUGGGCGGUUUCUAGAGAGGUAGAGGAGCAUUGUGUGCUGGGUGAAGCUAUACCGUAAGGAGUAGUGGACGGCACAGAAGAGAGAAUGCCGGUAUGAGUAACGAAAAAAGGAGUGAGAAUCUCCUUCGCCGAAAGUCUAAGGAUUCCUGAGGAAGGCUCGUCCUCUCAGGGUUAGUCGGGACCUAAGCUGAGGCCGAAAGGCGUAGGUGAUGGAAAAUCGGUAAAGAUUCCGAUACCACUGUAAAUUGAUUGAGUGAAGUGGGGACGCGGUAAAGAAGGUGGAGCAUGUGACUGGAAGAGCAUGUAUAAGCUAUUAAGCUGGGGUAAGGAGGCAAAUCCCUUUACCCAUCUAAACAGCUUAAAGUGAUGUGGAGCCAAAAGAGGCGAAGCCACCGGAUAAAUCGCCAAGAAAAACCACUAACGAGAUUUACAGUGCCCGUACCGCAAACCGACACAGGUAGACGGGAAGAGAAUUCUAAGGCGCGCGAGAGAACCCUUGUUAAGGAACUCGGCAAAAUGACCCCGUAACUUCGGGAGAAGGGGUACCCUUUAGGAAUACCUAGAGGGUCGAAGUGAAAAGAUCCAAGCGACUGUUUAUCAAAAACACAGGUCUCUGCUAAGUCGUAAGACGAAGUAUAGGGGCUGACGCCUGCCCGGUGCUGGAAGGUCAAGGAGAAGGCUUAGUACUUAUGUACGAAGGUCUGAACCUAAGCCCCAGUAAACGGCGGCCGUAACUAUAACGGUCCUAAGGUAGCGAAAUUCCUUGUCGGGUAAGUUCCGACCUGCACGAAUGGCGUAACGACUUGGAUGCUGUCUCAACAAGGGACUCGGUGAAAUUAAAUUGCCUGUGAAGAUGCAGGCUACCUGCGACAGGACGGAAAGACCCCGUGGAGCUUUACUGCAGCCUGAUAUUGGGUUUUGGUGUAGAAUGUACAGGAUAGGUGGGAGGCAUUGAAGCUGGUAUGCUAAUAUCAGUGGAGCCGUUGGUGGGAUACCACCCUUUCUACAGCGGAAUUCUAACUGGAGGCCAUAAACUGGUCACAGGACAUUGUCAGGCGGGCAGUUUGACUGGGGCGGUCGCCUCCCAAACAGUAACGGAGGCGCUCAAAGGUUCCCUCAGUGCGGAUGGAAAUCGCACGAAGAGUGUAAAGGCAGAAGGGAGCUUAACUGCGAGACAAACAAGUCGAGCAGGUACGAAAGUAGGACUUAGUGAUCCGGCGGUAUAGUGUGGAAUUGCCGUCGCUCAACGGAUAAAAGUUACCCCGGGGAUAACAGGCUUAUCUCCCCCAAGAGUUCACAUCGACGGGGAGGUUUGGCACCUCGAUGUCGGCUCAUCGCAUCCUGGAGCUGAAGCAGGUUCCAAGGGUUGGGCUGUUCGCCCAUUAAAGCGGUACGCGAGCUGGGUUCAGAACGUCGUGAGACAGUUCGGUCCCUAUCCGUCGCAGGCGGAGGAUACUUGAGGAGAGCUGUCCCCAGUACGAGAGGACCGGGAUGGACACACCGAUGGUGAAUCAGUUGUUCCACCAGGAGCAUAGCUGAGUAGCUAAGUGUGGGAAAGAUAAACGCUGAAAGCAUCUAAGCGUGAAACAAACUCCAAGAUAAGGUAUCCCACUCUGUUAAAGAGUUAAGAUCCCUUAAAGAUGAUAAGGUAGAUAGGCCGGAGGUGUAAAUGUAGUAAUACACUGAGCUGACCGGUACUAAUAGAUCGAGGGCUUAA
Molecule: ribosomal RNA, 2984 nt
Filed under: Halanaerobium hydrogeniformans
Lineage: Bacteria; Bacillati; Bacillota; Clostridia; Halanaerobiales; Halanaerobiaceae
Description: 23S ribosomal RNA
Rfam family: Bacterial large subunit ribosomal RNA
Source: RNAcentral